AACGAACGCUGGCGGCAUGCCUAACACAUGCAAGUCGAACGAGACCUCCGGGUCUAGUGGCGCACGGGUGCGUAACGCGUGGGAACCUUCCCUUAGGUUCGGAAUAACUCUCCGAAAGGGGUGCUAAUACCGGAUAAUUUCUUCGGACCAAAGAUUUAUCGCCCUUGGAUGGGCCCGCGUUGGAUUAGCUAGUUGGUAGGGUAAAAGCCUACCAAGGCGACGAUCCAUAGCUGGUAUGAGAGGGUGAUCAGCCACACGGGGACUGAGAAACGGCAGAGACACUGACGCGGGGACGCAGUGGAGAAUCCUACGGGAGGGGGGAAAGGGGGAUAUAGGAAAAUCGGGGGAAGGAUGAAGGACCUCUGCCGGUAGAGCGAUGUAGGUCUUAAAGAAGUAAAGCUCUUUUACCCGGGAUGGUAAUGACGGUACCGAAAGAAUAAGCUCCGGCUAACUCCGUG
Molecule: ribosomal RNA, 458 nt
Filed under: uncultured bacterium
Lineage: Bacteria
Description: partial 16S ribosomal RNA
Rfam family: Bacterial small subunit ribosomal RNA
Source: RNAcentral